Molecule: ribosomal RNA, 300 nt
Filed under: uncultured Coxiellaceae bacterium
Lineage: Bacteria; Pseudomonadati; Pseudomonadota; Gammaproteobacteria; Legionellales; Coxiellaceae
Description: bacterial SSU rRNA
Rfam family: Bacterial small subunit ribosomal RNA
Source: RNAcentral
GCGUAGGGAUCUGCCCUAAAGUGGGGGACAACUCGGGGAAACUCGGGCUACUACCGCAUAAUGUCUAAGGAAGAAAGUUGCCUUCGGGUGACGCUUUAGGAGGAACCUGCGUCCGAUUAGCUUGUUGGUGGGGUAAAAGCCUACCAAGGCAACGAUCGGUAGCUGGUCUGAGAGGACGAUCAGCCACACUGGGACUGAGACACGGCCCAGACUCCUACGGGAGGCAGCAGUGGGGAAUAUUGGACAAUGGGCGAAAGCCUGAUCCAGCAAUGCCGCGUGUGUGAAGAAGGCCCUAGGGUU